UAAAUAGCUGGAAUAGAACUUGGGAUCAAAAUCGAAAUAAGUUUUUAGAACUCAUUUUUCUUCAACCAAACAUGCUGAUAAAUAUCUUCAUCUUAUCUAUGCGCCUAAAUUUGAUAGGAAGUGAGGUAGGCAGCCUAAUUUGAUGGGGAGUGAGGUAAGUAGGGGCACUUUCACGUCUAAUGCAUAAUUACGUCUUUUGGAUGCAUUGCCCAAAAGGUUUUCUUCUGCGCCACCAAAAUCUGAUGCCAGCACUAACUUCUAAGUUCAUGCUACCAUUCUACCAACAUCCCACCUACCCACGUCUAUUCUGCAGUGUAACCCAAACUUUGGACAUUCAUGGGGCGUGACAUAAUCUAGUGACAUUAAAAAUAUAUGAAUUAUUUUUCCUUCAGAAAAAACAUCUUACGGCAUUCGUGGACAAGCUGAUUUGAAAAGUUUAGUACCAAUAACAAGUCUGAAUCGCAGAGAAAUCUUUCUAUAUACCUAAGUUAACCUUCUUGCUGUCACCCUUUAAUCAAACUGGCACCAUUUUAAGCUGAAAGCAGUACAUUUAUUUCUCCGAUCUGUUGCACAUUUAACAAUGUCGACCAGCAUUCUCAAAACUGGCACCAUUUGAUGGCAUGCAUGUCUCUUUUAAGACCAGAGGAGCGGGAUAUAAAAAAAGAAGAAUUCUUUUGGAUUUUGAGAGCAUGGAUCCCAAAACUUAAACUAUUUUUAGAGUCCAGUUGUACAUGCCGGGCUCCAAUGAGUUUUUUUUAUAUAUAUAGUAGAUUUUCACAAAGCAAUCCUGACGCCUUCAAAUAAAAAAUAUUGCUACACCUAAUUGUUGUUAGAAUAUCAUGUUUCCAAAACUUAUACAGAACUAGCUAUAAUUAAAAUUAAUAUUUGAUUAGCCAGUAGUUAGGCAUCACUCUCCAUCUGAGAGGUCCAAAAUUCGAUU
Molecule: long non-coding RNA, 940 nt
Filed under: Phoenix dactylifera (date palm)
Lineage: Eukaryota; Viridiplantae; Streptophyta; Magnoliopsida; Arecales; Arecaceae
Description: long non-coding RNA (PDAC_LNC008225)
Source: RNAcentral